This 468-nucleotide ribosomal RNA is filed under the name uncultured bacterium. RNAcentral's name for it is "partial 16S ribosomal RNA". It matches the Rfam family "Bacterial small subunit ribosomal RNA", at positions 28 to 507 of the family's 1533-position model. The record is from RNAcentral.
GACGAACGCUGGCGGCGUGCUUAACACAUGCAAGUCGAACGGAAAGGCCCUGCUUUUGUGGGGUGCUCGAGUGGCGAACGGGUGAGUAACACGUGAGUAACCUGCCCUUGACUUUGGGAUAACUUCAGGAAACUGGGGCUAAUACCGGAUAGUAUCUCCUGCUGCAUGGUGGGGGUUGGAAAGUUUCGGCGGUUGGGGAUGGACUCGCGGCUUAUCAGCUUGUUGGUGGGGUAGUGGCUUACCAAGGCUUGGCCGGGUAGCCGGCCUGAGAGGGUGACCGGCCACAUUGGGACUGAGAUACGGCCCAGACUCCUACGGGAGGCAGCAGUGGGGAAUAUUGAACAAUGGGCGGAAGCCUGAUGCAGCAACGCCGCGUGCGGGAUGACGGCCUUCGGGUUGUAAACCGCUUUCGCCUGUGACGAAGCGUGAGUGACGGUAAUGGGUAAAGAAGCACCGGCUAACUACGUG